Molecule: ribosomal RNA, 459 nt
Filed under: uncultured bacterium
Lineage: Bacteria
Description: partial 16S ribosomal RNA
Rfam family: Bacterial small subunit ribosomal RNA
Source: RNAcentral
CCUACGGGAGGCAGCAGUGAGGAAUAUUGGUCAAUGGACGAGAGCCUGAACCAGCCAAGUCGCGUGAAGGAUGACUGCCCUAUGGGUUGUAAACCUCUUUUAUAUGGGAGUAAUACACUGUACGCGUAGCGUCAUGUCAGUACCAUACGAAUAAGCAUCGGCUAACUCCGUGCCAGCAGCCGCGGUAAUACGGAGGAUGCGAGCGUUAUCCGGAUUUAUUGGGUUUAAAGGGUGCGUAGGGGGUAGUAUAAGUUAGUGGUAAAAUAUUGGGGCUAAACCUCACUACGCCAUUAAUACUGUAGAGCUAGAGUACAGACGAGGUAGGCGGAAUAAGUGAAGUAGCGGUGAAAUGCAUAGAUAUAACUUAGAACACCGAUAGCGAAGGCAGCUCACCAGACUGAGUCUGACGCUGAUGCACGAGAGUAUGGGUAGCGAACAGGAUUAGAUACCCGAGUAGUC